Molecule: non-coding RNA, 778 nt
Filed under: Cerace xanthocosma
Lineage: Eukaryota; Metazoa; Arthropoda; Insecta; Lepidoptera; Tortricidae
Source: RNAcentral
AUAAAUAAAUUUUUAUGGUUUGAAAAUUUUUUUUAAAAUUUAUUUUACAUAUAAAUUUUAGUGUAUAUUUUAAAAUAUUUAAAUAAUUAUUUAAUUAAAAAUUAAUAGUAAUUAAUAUUAAAAAUUUAAGAAAUUAAGAUUUAGUAAUAUAAAAAUUAAUAACUUAUUUUGUGCCAGCAGUUGCGGUUAUACAAAAAUUAAAUUAAAUUUUAUUAGUGAUAAUAAAUAUAAAUUUAAUUAAUUAAAAUAUUAAAUUAUUAAGUGAAAUUUUAAUUUAAUUAAAAAUUAUUAAAAUAUUAUGAUUUAAUAAAUUUUAUUAUAAACUAGGAUUAGAUACCCUAUUAUUAAAAAUUUAAAUUAAAAAUACUAAAAUAGUAUAUAAUUAUAUAUAAAAACUUAAAUAAUUUGGCGGUAUUUUAGUUCAUUUAGAGGAAUCUGUUUAUUAAUUGAUAAUCCACGAAUAAUUUUACUUAAUUUUUAAUUUUGUAUAUCGUUGUUAAAAAAAUAUUUUUUAAAAAUUUUAAUAUUUAAAAAUUUAAAAUAUAAAUUAAAUCAGAUCAAGAUGCAGAUUAUAAUUAAGAAUAUAAUGGAUUACAAUAAAUUUAUUUAAAUGAAUAUUAAAUUGAAAAUUUUAAUUAAAAGUGGAUUUAAAUGUAAUUUUAUUUAAUUUAAUAAAAUGAUUAAAAAUUAAAAUAUGUACAUAUUGCCCGUCGCUUUCAUUUAUAAAUUGAAAUAAGUCGUAACAAAGUAGAGGUACUGGAAAGUGUUUCUAGAAAGA